GCUUAGAGUAAGUAAAGUCGUAACAGGUUUCCGUAGGUGAACCUGCGGAAGGAUCAUUAUUGAAAUAAACCUGAUGGGUUGUUGCUGGUUCUCCAGGGAGCAUGUGCACACCUUGUCAUCUUUAUAUCUCCACCUGUGCACUUUUUGUAGACCUUUUCAGGUCUAUGUUGCUUCAUUUUACCCCAAUGUAUGUUAAUAGAAUGUUGUACCUAUAUAAUAUAUACAACUUUCAGCAACGGAUCUCUUGGCUCUCGCAUCGAUGAAGAACGCAGCGAAAUGCGAUAAGUAAUGUGAAUUGCAGAAUUCAGUGAAUCAUCGAAUCUUUGAACGCACCUUGCGCUCCUUGGUAUUCCGAGGAGCAUGCCUGUUUGAGUGUCAUUAAUAUAUAUCAACCCUCUCUCUUGUAGUGAGUGGUUUGGAUGUGGGGGUUUUGCUGGCCUCUUUGAAAAAAGGGCUCAGCUCUCCUGAAAUGCAUUAGCAGAACAAACCUGUUCAUUGGUGUGAUAACUAUCUGCGCCAUUGAAUGUGAGGGGCAGUUCAGCUUUCUAACAGUCCUUCGUUGGACAAUUCAUCAUUAAUGUGACCUCAAAUCAGGUAGGACUACCCGCUGAACUUAAGCAUAUCAAUAAGCGGAGGAAAAGAAACUAACAAGGAUUCCCCUAGUAACUGCGAGUGAAGCGGGAAAAGCUCAAAUUUAAAAUCUGGCGGUCUUUUGGCUGUCCGAGUUGUAAUCUAGAGAAGUGUUAUCCGCGCUGGACCGUGUACAAGUCUCCUGGAAUGGAGCAUCAUAGAGGGUGAGAAUUCCGUCUUUGACAUGGACUGCCAGGGCCUUGUGAUGCGCUCUCAAAGAGUCGAGUUGUUUGGGAAUGCAGCUCAAAAUGGGUGGUAAAUUCCAUCUAAAGCUAAAUUAUUGGGCGAGAGACCCGAAUAGCGAACCAAGUACCGUGAGGGGGAAAGAUGAA
RNAcentral lists this ribosomal RNA (962 nucleotides) under Cortinarius helobius. RNAcentral's name for it is "eukaryotic LSU rRNA". The stretch from base 581 to 962 matches the Rfam family "Eukaryotic large subunit ribosomal RNA", at positions 1 to 368 of the family's 3401-position model. Lineage: Eukaryota; Fungi; Basidiomycota; Agaricomycetes; Agaricales; Cortinariaceae. The record is from RNAcentral.